This 157-nucleotide ribosomal RNA is filed under the name uncultured bacterium. RNAcentral describes it as "partial 16S ribosomal RNA". It matches the Rfam family "Bacterial small subunit ribosomal RNA", at positions 355 to 509 of the family's 1533-position model. The record is from RNAcentral.
UGAGGAAUAUUGGUCAAUGGGCGGAAGCCUGAACCAGCCAAGUCGCGUGAGGGAAGACGGUCCUAUGGAUUGUAAACCUCUUUGCAGGGGAGCAAGGAGCGGUACGCGUACCGCUUUGGAGAGUACCCUGAGAAAAAGCAUCGGCUAACUCCGUGCC